RNAcentral lists this long non-coding RNA (3465 nucleotides) under Hordeum vulgare. RNAcentral's name for it is "long non-coding RNA (HVUL_LNC004005)". The record is from RNAcentral. Lineage: Eukaryota; Viridiplantae; Streptophyta; Magnoliopsida; Poales; Poaceae.
CCACUGCCCCUGCAGAUUGACGCCCCGUCUGGCUCAUCUUCGCUGCCGCCCAGCUCUCCACGUCAUCUCCGUUGUCGCCCAGCUCGCCAUGUCUGCAGGUCAACGCAUGCAGAUCCAGCAGCCGCCUCUUAGGCUCUCCGUCGUCGCCUUAUUGGAUCUCAGACGCCUUACCUGCAUUGACUGCGUAUGCCGUUCCAAUCCGUCCGCCCGCAAGAUCAACGCGCGUGCUGCCCAAUCUGCAAGUCUGUGCGCAGCCAUGCAGAUGUGCUGCUCUCCUACUGCUCACAUGUGUAGCCUAUGCCUAGCACGUGGCUGCUGCCCUCCAUCCAACGUGUAUGUGCUUGUUGCUGCUAUUGCUACGCCCUCAUUUGCCUGGUGCUCCUCUUUGCUGCUCCUUUGUCAACAUCUCAUUUACAGUCUGCUUUCACGAUGGCUUUUGCAUCUUCGUCUAGUAUAUGCUUCCUAGCUCUUUAGUUUUUUAUAUUUUUUGCUGCGUUCAUCAAAUCCGUUGAUAUUUUUUGCUUCUCAUGCCAUGCGAGUCCACCAUAUCAUUGUCCGUCAGCCUUUCUCCCGUCCUGAUCCUUUCUAUACAACUUUUGUGGCCUACUUGCCCUUGUUGUUUUCCAUAGGAUUUUCUAGACUCCUUUUGCAUUGUCGAUCUACGCCCAUCGCGCCUUAACCGCCGAGCUUCUUUCGUCGUCGGUUGUCAUGGACUAUGAUUUUCUGCACAAUGCUUUAUUCUCUUUGCAUUGUUGAUCUAAGCCUAUUCUCUUGCCGUCGAGCUUCUUUCGCCGUCGGUUUUCAUGGGCAAUGAUUCUUUAAGCAAUGCUUCAUUCUCUUGAUGUGUCAUCUUUCUUUGACAACCCAUCUUCUCUUGAUACUUAUGUUGUAUCUUCAACCCAUCUUCCUCUGAUGUGCCAUCUCUUCGUUAUACCCUUUGGCGACUCGACAGGUUUUGAAGACUCUUCAUGCUACGACCACUCUCAAGACACGGAUUUGGAUUACCAUUUUUUCUAGUAUUACACUUCUUCAAAUGCAAUGUUGUUGCAUACGCUUUGCAUUUGAGGGGGGUGUUAGGAAGUAUUAGUAUUGGUGUAGGAGUCCUAUUAGUCUAUGUUUACUUUCCUUGCACCUCAGAUCUUCUGUAAUAUAUAUAUGCCCCUUGGGCCUUCAAUAAAGAUAAGUUGCUUUCCUAACACAGUGGAGCAACCACACUAAAGCAGAAGCAACAUGGGAGCGUGAAGACUACCUCAGAUCCGAGUUUCCUUCUCUUUUUAGCGCCUAGCCUAGGAAUCUCGGGGACGAGAUUCUUGUAAGGGGGAUAGGUUAUCACACCCUGUGUUUGUACCAAUUUUGCCACGUGUUGUUUUUAUAAAAAUUGGGACCAAUUAAAACUUUUUGCAUGUUUGUGAUGAUUGAUUUUGUUGCAACUUGCUUGUGUGACUGAUUGAGUUUUUGAAUCACUAUAGUUGUUCUUCUCUCUAAAACCUACCUCCUUGACCCCAAGCCCUUGCCCAAUGAUCAUGCCAUGUGAAUGAACCUAGAAAACCAUUUUUCUAAAUUAUUAUUUUUAUAAAAGGCAUUUAAUCAUUUCAAAUUCUCCAAAACCCCUGAUUCACCAAAGACUUUAUUUGAACCCCAUUAUUCAAAAGACUUACCAAAACCACAACGUAACUAUUUUUAAAGUUAUUUUCCUAUUUUAUAUAAAUACAUUUUUUGAGGCUAGAAAUGUUAUUUCAUAUGGAAAAAUUAUUUUCUUGCUUCAAAAAUAUUUGAGAAAAUUUAGGGAAACACAAUGUACAUAUAUUUUCCAUACAUAAGAGUUUCAACACAUGGUCAUGUUCAAAAUAUUGGACAAAACCCCUCAAAACCCUUUCUGCCUAUUUCAGGCUUUUGAAAUAUUUCCAUAGGAACUAUUCUCAAUAAAUUUCAGGAAAAUUCUAGUAAGUCAUAGGUGGCGAUCCUGCAAAGUUUCAUCUCAAUUCAAGUUGAUUUGAUCCACCUAUUAAUCCCAAAACUCUUUCUAUCCAGAACAAAAUUUGAGCAACUNAGUUGCUCAAAUUUUGUACUGAACAGAAAGAGCUUUGGGAAUAAUAGGUGGAUCAAAUCAACUUGAAUUGAGAUGAAACUUUGCAGGAUCACCGCCUUUAUCAUGUAUGACUUGCUAGAAUUUUCCUGAAAUUUAUUGAGAAUAGUUCCUAUGAAAAUAUUUCAAAAGACUGAAAUAGGCAGAAAGGGUUUUAAGGGUUUUGUCCAAUAUUUUGAACAUGACCAUGUGUUAAAACUCUUAUGUAUGAAAAAUAUAUGUCCAAUGUGUUUCCCUAAAAAAUUUCAAAUAUUUUUGAAGCAAGAAAAUAAUUUUUCCCUAUGAAAUACCAUUUCUAGCCUAAAAAAAAGGUAUUUAUAUAAAAUAGGAAAAUAACUUUAAAAAUAGUUACGUUAUGGUUUUGGGAAGUCUUUUGAAUAAUAGGGUUCAAAUAAAGUCUUUGGUGUAAAACAUCCCCCCUAAAUUGGGGACUUGCAGUACAAAUCCCAAUCAGGAGUUUUGAAGAAUUUGAAAUGAUUAAAUGUAUUUUAUAAAAAUAAUAAUUUAGAAAAAUGGUUUUCUGGUUUCAUUCACAUGGCAUGAUCAUUGGGCAAGGGGUUGGGGUCAAGGAGGUAGGUUUUAGAGAGAAGAACAACUAUAGUGAUUCAAAAACUCAAUCAGUCACACAAGCACCAAGUUGUAUAUUUGUGGGAGUUGAUUUGAUCACCUUGGUCCAUAGAAAUCUGAUUAUGUCCAUUUCUAGGGUUUUUCAUGUCUACAUUGUCAACUUUGUUCAAAUGAGCUCAAACUUGGUGAAUCCUACUGAUUUUGCCCAUCAUUUAAUCCUGUUAAAUCUCACUGCAAGUGGUGAGGUUUAUCUUGCUCAAACCAGCAUCAAACACCUUAGUGAUUUGGUAAAACUGCUACUUUCACCUCUGACACUAUUCUCCUUCACUCCAAAUUUUUACCACAAGCCCACAGAGUUACUCUUCACCUGCAGCAGGGAGAUCCAGCUCUGGUUCAAUGUUAGGAGACCACAAUUAAGCCACUCUCUUCACCUACAGCAGGGAGAUCCAGCUCUGGUUCAAUGUUAGGAGACCACAAUUAAGCCCCUGAUUCACCCUCGCAGAGACUUUCUUCCCCUCUUCCUUUGACCACAGCCUCCCUCCUCUGCUCCAAAGCAUCCAAGGGGCAUCUCCACAUCCCCCAGACACUAGAGGACAAGGUGGGACGCGCCAGAGCGCGCCAGCAGCAGCAUGUCAUGUCAUGCCAAAACUGCGCUCUGGACGCGCUACAGUGCGGAUGCACACUGUGGGAGGCCACCCCCGACCAGCUUUGGACCCCUCCGGCUGUCCCCCGAGGCCCCCUUGACGGCAAAGGCCCUGCGUCAUGUCGUGCCCCUCCUUUCUCCCUUCUCCUCCCCCCUACAACUCUUGCCC